UAGGGAAUCUUCCACAAUGGGCGCAAGCCUGAUGGAGCAACACCGCGUGGGUGAAGAAGGGUUUCGGCUCGUAAAGCUCUGUUGUUAAAGAAGAACACGUAUGAGAGUAACUGUUCAUACGUUGACGGUAUUUAACCAGAAAGUCACGGCUAACUACGUGUCAG
Molecule: ribosomal RNA, 164 nt
Filed under: uncultured bacterium
Lineage: Bacteria
Description: partial 16S rRNA
Rfam family: Bacterial small subunit ribosomal RNA
Source: RNAcentral